This 1810-nucleotide long non-coding RNA is filed under the name Theobroma cacao (cacao). RNAcentral's name for it is "long non-coding RNA (TCAC_LNC003979)". Lineage: Eukaryota; Viridiplantae; Streptophyta; Magnoliopsida; Malvales; Malvaceae. The record is from RNAcentral.
AUUUUUAUAGCGUAAAAGCUAAAUAAAUUUAUACAUACUUAAAUACAGUAAGCCAAAAUAUUUAAUUUAAUUUACAAUAACAAGAGUGCCCCCGAAUAAACAAAAGUAAAGAGGACUAUGAACUUACGGUUUGGAAAAUACAGAUCCCACUGUAGUCCUCGAUGAGAUCAGCUAUCUACAGUUUAUACUGAACCUGAAAUGGGUGGAAAGGAGGGUGGUGAGAUUAUAAAAUCCUAAUGAAUAAACAGACAUCAUCAUAAACAUCUAGAGUUGAGUACAUGGAAACAAUAAAGUAAAUCAUCAUAAACCGGGUUAUAGCAUUAGAACACAUUUUGUUCAAAACAUGUAAAGAAGCUUAUGAAUCUCAUAAAAAUCUAGGCUUGUGCCAUAAAUCUAUUCUCGGGGACACCUUGGCUAAGGCAUCCUACCAAGACCGCCAAGGCUAUUAAAAUUCACAUUUCUCAUAAAUCAUGUUUUUGUUUUGAAAACAUAGCCGUUCAUUGGCGUUGGCUGAGUCCCCCCUCACGUGGUGGUUUAGCGUGAAGUGAACCCUAAACUUUACCCCAGGAGAUACCCUACGCGCCUCUUCGUUCAAGGUAAAAAUAUAAUGAGGUUUACCGUGCCCCUCUAAAAGGCUGAUCCACAGAAACCCCCUACUGCAGUGAUUAAUUAAUAUAUAAUCCACCAUAUAAUAAAACUCAAUAACAUGAUAUGGCAAUUUUGUAAUUCGUAGUUUUUCAAGGCAACCAAACAAUUCGCAUUUCAAUACAAUUGCCAAUUAGCCAAUCAUGCUCGAUUUAUCAUAAGCCAGUCAAUUUAAACAAUCAAAUUGCCACAAUUAACAGUCUCCGUGUACUCUAUUUUUUCAAAAUCAUUAUUGAUUCCAAAACAAUUUAUAAAUUAAUUUCAUUGAAACUCAUUUAUUCAUAAAACAUGAAAAUUUUCCUUUUUAAAUUCCUUUUUUCAUAGAAUUCAUGAAAGCAUCUAAAAACCACCCUAGAUAAUUAAAAUGACAGUAAGUUUACUCACAAUGUCUAGAAUGCAGACUUUCGAAGCACUCUGUCUACUGGUCCUUGGAUGCAAUUUCCUUGCCUUUAUCGGAGGACUCACCACCUUGACACAGUACAAAAUCGAGAAUUUCACCAAGUUGGUACUAAAUCAAAAUUAAACUAAUUUUGACUACCAAUGCAUGAUAUGGAAUGCAAAAAUGCACUGGUAACUAUCUAAACUCAGUAUUGGCCUAAUUCAUCUUAUCACCCGAUUAAAUUCCUAACGCGUCCGUUUAAACUCCAAUUUAAUUCUUUUCAGUUUCUAUACCUCAAUUGCACCCAAAUUAACUUAAUGUCCCUCAGUGUGGUGCAAAUUAUCAGUCCCAACAGUAAAUUACGAAAAUACCCCUAGUGGGUAAAAAUUUAUAUUUUUGCUCCGAAAAUUCCCAUUAUUUUUCUAGACUCAUAAUUCAUCAUUUCUUAACCAAUUCUACUAGAAUAAAAAUCAAACUCAUCCUCACUCACUACAUGGUAAAUUCAGCCAUUAAUGGUUGUGGGAGAAAAUAAAUUCUUUUCUUGUUGUUUUGUUUCUAAAUAUGCUAAACUAACUAAAAACACUAACAUAAAUUAAAAUCAAAUAAAUCCAACAACUUUCUCUCUCCUAACCCAUUUUAAUCAGCCAACAAUUCAUCAUAAAAACAUGAAAUUUGAGCAUGGAAAAUGAAGAGAAAUGCUUAAGGAAAAUAGAUUUCAAGCUUAAGUUGAAAAAUCCUACCUUUUUCACUUGUUUUACUUGAUUUUUCACACUUUUUCUCUUGAAA